GAAUAUACGCCGAUCCAGAGCAUCCCAAACAUGCUCAAUGGGUGACAUGUCCGGUGAGUAUGCUGGCCAUGCAAGAACUGGAAUGUUUUCAGCUUCCAGGAACUGUGUACAGAUCCUUUCAACACGGGGCCAUGCAUUAUCAUGUUGUAACAUGAGGUGAUGGUCGUGGAUGAAUGGCUCAACAAUAGGCCUCAGAAUCUCGUCACGGUAUCUCUGUGCAUUCAAAAUGUCAUCAAUAAAAUGCACCUGUAUUCGUUGUCCAUAACAUACGCCUGCCCAUAC
Molecule: non-coding RNA, 282 nt
Organism: Pelobates cultripes (western spadefoot toad)
Lineage: Eukaryota; Metazoa; Chordata; Amphibia; Anura; Pelobatidae
Source: the annotation of a GenBank genome assembly